UUGGGGCACUAGGUGUGGGGGGACAUUUCCACGUUUUUCCGCGCCGUAGCUAACGCAUUAAGUGCCCCGCCUGGGGAGUACGGCCGCAAGGCUAAAACUCAAAGGAAUUGACGGGGGCCCGCACAAGCGGCGGAGCAUGCGGAUUAAUUCGAUGCAACGCGAAGAACCUUACCAAGGCUUGACAUGAACCGGAAUGAUGCAGAGAUGUGUCAGCCACUUGUGGCCGGUUUACAGGUGGUGCAUGGUUGUCGUCAGCUCGUGUCGUGAGAUGUUGGGUUAAGUCCCGCAACGAGCGCAACCCUCGUUCCAUGUUGCCAGCGGGUUAUGCCGGGGACUCAUGGGAGACUGCCGGGGUCAACUCGGAGGAAGGUGGGGACGACGUCAAAUCAUCAUGCCCCUUAUGUCUUGGGCUUCACGCAUGCUACAAUGGCCGGUACAAAGGGUUGCGAUACUGUGAGGUGGAGCUAAUCCCAAAAAGCCGGUCUCAGUUCGGAUUGAGGUCUGCAACUCGACCUCAUGAAGUUGGAGUCGCUAGUAAUCGCAGAUCAGCAACGCUGCGGUGAAUACGUUCCCGGGCCUUUACACACCGCCCGACUUUCUACGAAAGUUGGUACCCCCCCCCGGGG
Molecule: ribosomal RNA, 626 nt
Filed under: Arthrobacter sp.
Lineage: Bacteria; Bacillati; Actinomycetota; Actinomycetes; Micrococcales; Micrococcaceae
Description: bacterial SSU rRNA
Rfam family: Bacterial small subunit ribosomal RNA
Source: RNAcentral